GACGAACGCUGGCGGCGUGCCUAAUACAUGCAAGUCGAGCGAGCUUGCCUAGAUGAUUUUAGUGCUUGCACUAGAUGAAUCUAGCUACAAGCGAGCGGCGGACGGGUGAGUAACACGUGGGUAACCUGCCCAAGAGACUGGGAUCACACCUGGAAACAGAUGCUAAUACCGGAUAACAACACUAGACGCAUGUCUAGAGUUUGAAAGAUGGUUCUGCUAUCACUCUUGGAUGGACCUGCGGUGCAUUAGCUAGUUGGUAAGGUAACGGCUUACCAAGGCAAUGAUGCAUAGCCGAGUUGAGAGACUGAUCGGCCACAUUGGGACUGAGACACGGCCCAAACUCCUACGGGAGGCAGCAGUAGGGAAUCUUCCUCAAUGGACGAAAUUCUGAUGGAUUAACUCCCCGUGUUUGAUGAAGGGUUUCGGCUCGUAAAGCUCUGUUGGUAGUGAAGAAAGAUAGAGGUAGUAACUGGCCUUUAUUUGACGGUAAUUACUUAGAAAGUCACGGCUAACUAC
This 516-nucleotide ribosomal RNA is filed under the name uncultured bacterium. RNAcentral describes it as "bacterial SSU rRNA". It matches the Rfam family "Bacterial small subunit ribosomal RNA", at positions 28 to 504 of the family's 1533-position model. The record is from RNAcentral.